RNAcentral lists this ribosomal RNA (274 nucleotides) under uncultured bacterium. Its description in RNAcentral is "partial 16S ribosomal RNA". It matches the Rfam family "Bacterial small subunit ribosomal RNA", at positions 523 to 796 of the family's 1533-position model. The record is from RNAcentral.
AGACGGGGGGUGCUAGCGUUGUUCGGAAUUACUGGGCGUAAAGGGCGCGUAGGCGGCUCUGCGAGUCGGGCGUGAAAUCCCGGGGCUUAACCCCGGAACGGCGCUCGAUACUGCGGGGCUGGAGACCGGAAGGGGAGGGUGGAAUUCCCAGUGUAGAGGUGAAAUUCGUAGAUAUUGGGAGGAACACCGGUGGCGAAAGCGGCUCUCUGGUCCGGUUCUGACGCUGAGGCGCGAAAGCGUGGGGAGCAAACAGGAUUAGAAACCCUAGUAGUCC